RNAcentral lists this ribosomal RNA (570 nucleotides) under bacterium RBM-C3. RNAcentral describes it as "bacterial SSU rRNA". It matches the Rfam family "Bacterial small subunit ribosomal RNA", at positions 70 to 629 of the family's 1533-position model. The record is from RNAcentral.
UAGCACAGAGGAGCUUGCUCCUUGGGUGACGAGUGGCGGACGGGUGAGUAAUGUCUGGGAAACUGCCCGAUGGAGGGGGAUAACUACUGGAAACGGUAGCUAAUACCGCAUAACGUCGCAAGACCAAAGAGGGGGACCUUCGGGCCUCUUGCCAUCGGAUGUGCCCAGAUGGGAUUAGCUAGUAGGUGGGGUAACGGCUCACCUAGGCGACGAUCCCUAGCUGGUCUGAGAGGAUGACCAGCCACACUGGAACUGAGACACGGUCCAGACUCCUACGGGAGGCAGCAGUGGGGAAUAUUGCACAAUGGGCGCAAGCCUGAUGCAGCCAUGCCGCGUGUAUGAAGAAGGCCUUCGGGUUGUAAAGUACUUUCAGCGAGGAGGAAGGGGAUGUGGUUAAUAACCGCAUUCAUUGACGUUACUCGCAGAAGAAGCACCGGCUAACUCCGUGCCAGCAGCCGCGGUAAUACGGAGGGUGCAAGCGUUAAUCGGAAUUACUGGGCGUAAAGCGCACGCAGGCGGUCUGUCAAGUCGGAUGUGAAAUCCCCGGGCUCAACCUGGGAACUGCAUCCG